Molecule: long non-coding RNA, 1286 nt
Organism: Cylas formicarius (sweet potato weevil)
Lineage: Eukaryota; Metazoa; Arthropoda; Insecta; Coleoptera; Brentidae
Exons: 3
Source: RefSeq, a predicted model, not a curated record
GUUGAAUUGAAUUAUGCUGUGAAUAUAUUUCUCAAUUCUCUGAUUAUUUAGUUUUCUUUUUCAUUUCGUUAUUUUGAUCAUUAUGAGCUUUGAUCUAGGUGAGCCAGCUUCUGCCAAGAGGGAUAAUAUAAUAUUAUGCGGUUCCAGUGUGGACUACACUCCAAUGAAUUUAUUACCACCCCCAAAUAAUCUACUUAGGUAUACUGUUUGUUUGCGGUGCUAUUUGUGUAGGCACUGAAUGAGGAUCUAGGAGAUGUUUUCUGGUGGAUACCAAUACGAACUGAACAAAUGUUAUCAAUCCAAAGCACUAACGGUCUCCUUGGAUUGUUCUGUAUACAAUUGUUUAAUUCUAUUUUAAAUCAAUAAAACACUUUCUAAGUGUUGGUUAAAUGUGUCGAUAACAUUUAACAACCUCUUUUUUGCGGGAAACAGAACAUGAAAUAAUCAUAUCAGAGAAGACGUAAUCAUCUAUCACAGGCUACUAAGUAUUGAGCAUUGAGUUGCACAACUAUCAUGUGUAGAGUUUCUGAUUACAGUUAUUUGUUUUUGCAUUAGCUGCCUUUACCCGUUGACUCUUUUUUGUUCCCUAACAUAAAAUGUUAAAUACAGCAUCCAUUACAUACUUUACUGAACUAAUCUUUAAAUUAUCGAUGCCUUUAUAAAAAUGUAUGUAUGUUUCCAAGCUAUCUCCGAGAAAACAUAUGUUCAAACUUUUUUUUAUUUUUAAGUUAAUUCGGUUUUGAUUACAACUGACUAAAGUGAUAAUAACCAAUGUUGAAUCUUUCAGUUUCCGUAUCAGUUAAUUAGUAUCACUUUUAACAUUUCAACUGUUUUGUGGUUUAAGUAGACCUGGCGCCGCACUAUUAUAAUAUACAAUACUUGUAUGUAUAUAUUCAAGUCAUGCUUAAGACGUUAGUCGACGACGUACAGUGAAAAUAACUUAUAAGUCAAAGUACUUAGCAUUUUGAUAAGAAAUACUGAUUGGAUUAUUAUACAGGGUGUCCCAAUAGUGUAUGCUUGGUUGAAAUCUUAACAACGGCUAGUGAUGGAUAAAGAAAUCAAAUAGAAAAAUUGUACAGCAAUAUGAGCUACAUAACCCAAAAAUAUUUUCAUUUAUACAGGAUGUCCCAAAAAUCUGUACCAUAUAAAAGUUGUUUUUUGUUAUAGUACACCCUCUGUUUUGAAUUCUACGAAAAAUUCUAGACACACUUGAUGUAUUAUGUUCAAUAAGGUACAAUACAGAAAAAUAAGAAUACUUAAUUUUCAAAAAUACACUAUAUUUCACA